Lynx canadensis (Canada lynx) is the source of this 1062-nucleotide long non-coding RNA. RefSeq lists it as uncharacterized. The transcript is spliced from 3 exons. The record is from RefSeq and is a predicted model, not a curated record. Lineage: Eukaryota; Metazoa; Chordata; Mammalia; Carnivora; Felidae.
UUCAGAUGUGUGCUCUACUGAUCUGUGGUUGCCUCGAGACCAAAGUAGGGGAGUAGAGAGGAAUGGGAGGGAGGAAUUCAAACGAAGUUUGUGGCAACAUUUGGGCAUCAUGGAUAUAUUCAUUAUCUUGAUUUGGGUAAUUGUUUCCUGGUUUCUGCCUAUGACCAGAGUUGCAAAGAGGUUAUAUUUUAAAUAUGUGCAGUUUAGGGGCACCUGGGUGGCUCAUUCGGUCGGUUAAGUGUCCUGACUCUUGAUUUUGGCUCAGGUUGUGAUCUCACAUCGCUUGUUAACAGUGCAUAGCCUGCCUGGGAUUCUCUCCUCUGUUUCUGUCUGUCUCUGUCUCUCUCUCUGCCCUGCCCCACUUGUGCGUGCUUGUCUCUCAAAAUAAAUAAACUUAAGAAAAUGUGCACUGUGUUUAUAUGUCAGUUAUAUCUAAAUAAAACUGUUAAGAAAAAGCAGGUCAUGUUUCGUUCAGAAAGUAGAAAGAUUACUGAUAAAAACUUAAGCCAUUAGACAAGUAAAGCAAAUUGCGUUCAUUAUAAGGAAUGUAUCGUGGAAGGUAUUUUAUGGGUUUUUAUGGGUUUAUUAUGUAAUUUUUAAAAAUCCGACCAAUAUUCAGGAACAGUAGUGGUUUCUUAUCAUACAUCAUACCACCUUAGGGUAACUUUCUUACAGACCUUUUUGACAUAUUUGCAAUGAAACAGUACGUAAGAGUUUGUGUUCUAUUUUCAUUUAAUAGAAUCUUCCUGUUUUUCUACCACAUUUUAAAAACCUAUUUUAAUGGUGGCACUUUUCAUUUUGUUUUGCACUAUUUAUUAAAUGAGUCCCUUAAUUUAUGGGACUGCUUUAUUGUGGUCUUAAGUAAGUGUUCUGUUUAUAGUGGAGUCCAGCAGAGUCUUAAAAAUCUGAAUUUUACUUUAAGAGUAGCAGUUUCCAUGCAAUCCUAUAAUAGUAGAAAAGCAUAAAAUUGUGUUGCACACGAAUUAGCAAUUGGGGCGCCUGGGUGGCUCAGUCGGUUAAGUGUCCAACUCUUGGUUUUGGCUUCAGGUCAUGAUCUCACCG